Molecule: ribosomal RNA, 500 nt
Filed under: uncultured bacterium
Lineage: Bacteria
Description: partial 16S ribosomal RNA
Rfam family: Bacterial small subunit ribosomal RNA
Source: RNAcentral
AUUGAACGCUGGCGGCAUGCCUUACACAUGCAAGUCGAACGGCAGCACGGGAGCAAUCCUGGUGGCGAGUGGCGAACGGGUGAGUAAAGUAUCGGAACGUGCCCAGUCGUGGGGGAUAACGUAGCGAAAGUUACGCUAAUACCGCAUACGAUCUAUGGAUGAAAGCGGGGGAUCGCAAGACCUCGCGCGAUUGGAGCGGCCGAUAUCAGAUUUGGUAGUUGGUGGGGUAAAGGCUCACCAAGCCGACGAUCUGUAGCUGGUCUGAGAGGACGACCAGCCACACUGGGACCGAGACACGGCCCAGACUCCCACGGGAGGCAGCAGUGGGGAAUUUUGGACAAUGGGCGCAAGCCUGAUCCAGCCAUGCCGCGUGCAGGAUGAAGGCCUUCGGGUUGUAAACUGCUUUUGUACGGAACGAAAAGGUUUGACUUAAUACGUUGGACUCAUGACGGUACCGUAAGAAUAAGCACCGGCUAACUACGUGCCAGCCGCCGCCGUAA